UUGUUGGUAAGGUAAAAGCUUACCAAGGCUUCGAUCAGUAGCUGGUCUGAGAGGACGACCAGCCACACUGGGACUGAGACACGGCCCAGACUCCUACGGGAGGCAGCAGUGGGGAAUUUUGGACAAUGGGGGCAACCCUGAUCCAGCCAUGCCGCGUGAGUGAAGAAGGCCUUCGGGUUGUAAAGCUCUUUCAGCCGGAACGAAACGGUUACGGAUAACACCCGUGACUACUGACGGUACCGGAAGAAGAAGCACCGGCUAACUACGUGCCAGCAGCCGCGGUAAUACGUAGGGUGCGAGCGUUAAUCGGAAUUACUGGGCGUAAAGCGUGCGCAGGUGGUUUUGUAAGUCAGAUGUGAAAGCCCCGGGCUCAACCUGGGAACUGCGUUUGAAACUACAAGACUAGAGUGUGGCAGAGGGGGGUGGAAUUCCGCGUGUAGCAGUGAAAUGCGUAGAGAUGUGGGGGAACACCGAUGGCGAAGGCAGCCCCCUGGGUCAACACUGACGCUCAGGCACGAAAGCAUGGGGAGCAAACAGGAUUAGAUACCCUGGUAGUCCAUGCCCUAAACGAUGUCAACUAGUUGUCGGGCCUUUACGGGCUUGGUAACGUAGCUAACGCGUGAAGUUGACCGCCUGGGGAGUACGAUCGCAAGAUUAAAACUCAAAUGAAUUGACGGGGACCCGCACAAGCGGUGGAUUAUGUGGAUUAAUUCGAUGCAACGCGAAAAACCUUACCUACCCUUGACAUGUAUCGAAGCCCGCAGAAAAGCGGGGGUGCCCGAAAGGGAACGAUAACACAGGUGCUGCAUGGCUGUCGUCAGCUCGUGUCGUGAGAUGUUGGGUUAAGUCCCGCAACGAGCGCAACCCUUGUCAUUAAUUGCCAUCAUUUAGUUGGGCACUUUAAUGAGACUGCCGG
RNAcentral lists this ribosomal RNA (916 nucleotides) under uncultured bacterium. RNAcentral describes it as "bacterial SSU rRNA". It matches the Rfam family "Bacterial small subunit ribosomal RNA", at positions 246 to 1155 of the family's 1533-position model. The record is from RNAcentral.